GUGCCAGCAGCCGCGGUAAUUCCAGCUCCAAUAGCGUAUAUUAAAGUUGUUGCAGUUAAAAAGCUCGUAGUUGGAUCUCGGGCGCAGGCGGGCGGUCCGGCUCGCGCCGGCUCGCCGCCCGUUCACCUGCCCCACCCCUGCCGGCUCCCUCCCGGCGGUGUUCUUCACUGAGCGUCCCGGGUGGCCGGCGCGUUUACUUUGAAAAAAUUAGAGUGUUCAAGGCGGGCCUGCCGAGCCCGAAUAACUGCGCAUGGAAUAAUGGAAUAGGACCUCGGUUCUAUUUUGCUGGUUUUCGGAAUCCGAGGUAAUGAUUGACGGGGACAAACGGGGGCAUUCGUAUUGCGGCGUUAGAGGUGAAAUUCUUGGAUCGCCGCAAGACGGGCUACUGCGAAAGCAUUUGUCAAGAAUGUUUUCAUUAAUCAA
This 423-nucleotide ribosomal RNA is filed under the name Onchidoris muricata. RNAcentral describes it as "SSU rRNA". It matches the Rfam family "Eukaryotic small subunit ribosomal RNA", at positions 564 to 980 of the family's 1831-position model. The record is from RNAcentral. Lineage: Eukaryota; Metazoa; Mollusca; Gastropoda; Nudibranchia; Onchidorididae.